RNAcentral lists this ribosomal RNA (807 nucleotides) under uncultured bacterium. RNAcentral's name for it is "bacterial SSU rRNA". It matches the Rfam family "Bacterial small subunit ribosomal RNA", at positions 1 to 804 of the family's 1533-position model. The record is from RNAcentral.
UAGAGUUUGAUCCUGGCUCAGGAUGAACGCUAGCUACAGGCUUAACACAUGCAAGUCGAGGGGCAGCAUGGUCUUAGCUUGCUAAGGCCGAUGGCGACCGGCGCACGGGUGAGUAACACGUAUCCAACCUGCCUUAUACUCCCGGACAGCCUUCUGAAAGGAAGAUUAAUACGGGAUGGCAUCACGAGCCAGCAUUUUCUCGUGAUUAAAGAAUUUCGGUAUAAGAUGGGGAUGCGUUCCAUUAGAUAGUAGGCGGGGUAACGGCCCACCUAGUCGACGAUGGAUAGGGGUUCUGAGAGGAAGGUCCCCCACAUUGGAACUGAGACACGGUCCAAACUCCUACGGGAGGCAGCAGUGAGGAAUAUUGGUCAAUGGGCGCGAGCCUGAACCAGCCAAGUAGCGUGAAGGAUGACUGCCCUACGGGUUGUAAACUUCUUUUAUAAAGGAAUAAAGUGAGGCACGUGUGCCUUUUUGUAUGUACUUUAUGAAUAAGGAUCGGCUAACUCCGUGCCAGCAGCCGCGGUAAUACGGAGGAUCCGAGCGUUAUCCGGAUUUAUUGGGUUUAAAGGGAGCGUAGAUGGGUUGUUAAGUCAGUUGUGAAAGUUUGCGGCUCAACCGUAAAAUUGCAAUUGAUACUGGCAGCCUUGAGUACAGUUGAGGUAGGCGGAAUUCGUGGUGUAGCGGUGAAAUGCUUAGAUAUCACGAAGAACUCCGAUUGCGAAGGCAGCCUACUAAACUGCCACUGACAUUGAUGCUCGAAAGUGUGGGUAUCAAACGGGAUUAGAUACCCUGGUAGUCCACACGGUA